This 1431-nucleotide long non-coding RNA is filed under the name Chrysemys picta bellii (western painted turtle). RNAcentral's name for it is "lncRNA (ENSCPBG00000018695.1)". Lineage: Eukaryota; Metazoa; Chordata; Testudines; Emydidae. The record is from RNAcentral.
CCCUUCUGGCCUCUCACUUUCGGGGAACCCAGCCUGGCACAGAGCUCCACGGGCAGCACUUACGGGUGUCCGGUACCGCUUGCCCAGCGCGCCGGAGUAAGACGACGACUUUAAAGGCGAUGCUUGCAAAGGCAAAGGGAUGGGUUUGGUUUUUACACCUCGUGGCAGCCGAGCUGUGUCCCGCCAUGAUGAAUUCUGAGUCUCGCGCCCACAUGCCCUAAGCAGGCCCGCCCCUUGACCCUGCCUCCUCCUGCGCAAAGCGUAUCAAUCCGGACACUGGACAUUCCGCAAAAUUCCUGCAGGGCCCCCCAGUGAAAAAAAAGCCUUUCAAACAAUCCAGACGGCACCGCGAGUGGGAUGGCAAGAAAUCGAUCCGUUACACGUGUCCGCAUUUGUACGUCCUAUGCCAAGGAACGCCCUCAAACACGUUUAAAAGAGGGCAAUCUUCGUCGCUGUGUUAUUUUGAAGAAAUAGUUUUUAUCCCCCAUUCCUCCAGCGCUCUGUGUCAGUCACUGUGCGCCUCUCUGCCUCACGCAGGCGCCAGGCCGGCAAAGCACGUUAGCGGGUGCUUUGUUUUAAGCAUCUCAGUCGUCCCCUGGAAGCAGGGACCCCAUGAAACACAAGAGGUCUCGUUUUUCUGUGAUUCUGCAGGGGAAACUGAAUAUGGCCGCUGCAUAUUUUUAGACCCGCCCUGCGAGAGUUAUAGCGUCUCAGCGCCUCGGCGUGUCUAACAGCGACUGUCCGAGAGAUCACUUGUUUCCUCCUAGGCGCCUAGCAGGAAAGCCACAAACUGUCGUUCCUACGCAUGCUGUAUAUCAUUCUUCCGGGGCUCGGUGUUUUAAACCCGCCUGUGCCCUUUGAGUGCCUUGUUAUGCAUUUGAAACCUAUUUCAGCCCAAAGAAGGGUGACACUCUCCCCCCACUAAGUCCUCCAGUGUCAAACAGCAAGCAUGGGCGUCUUACCUCCUGAAAAGCAAGUUUCCUCCACAUCUUUCCUUCCCCAGGGCUGCUGGCGAUUCCCCCUGGUAGAGAGGCCCACUGAUAGAGCAAAAAUUGAGCAGGCAGGAAAAGCAGACGGGAGGUGGCCACUUCCUUGUGCUGAAAUAGGUUUCAAAUGCAUAACAAGGCACUCAAAGUGCACAGGCGGGUUUAAAACACCGAGCCCCAGAAGAAUGAUAUACAGCCUGCGUAGGAACGACAGUUUGUGGCUUUCCUGCUAGGCGCCUAGUAGAAAACAAGUGAUCUCUCGGACAGUCGCUGUUAGACACGCCGAGGCGCUGAGACGCCAUAACUCUCGCAGGGCGGGUCUAAAACUAUGCAGCGGCCAUAUUCAGUCUCCCCUGCAGAAUCACAGAAAAACGAGACCUCUUGUGUUUCAUGGGGUCCCUGCUUCCAGGGGACGACUGAGAUGCUUAAAACAAAGCACCCGCUA